UCCAAGCUCUCAUCUCUGCCUCCACUGUC
Molecule: non-coding RNA, 29 nt
Filed under: Rattus norvegicus (Norway rat)
Lineage: Eukaryota; Metazoa; Chordata; Mammalia; Rodentia; Muridae
Source: RNAcentral